UACGAAGGGUGCAAGCGUUAAUCGGAAUUACUGGGCGUAAAGCGUGCGUAGGCGGUUUCUUAAGUCUGCUGUGAAAGCCCCGGGCUCAACCUGGGAAUGGCGGUGGAUACUGAGGAGCUGGAGUACGGUAGAGGAAGGUGGAAUUCCCGGUGUAGCGGUGAAAUGCGUAGAGAUCGGGAGGAACACCGGUGGCGAAGGCGGGUCUCUGGGCAAUUCCUGACGCUGAGGCGCGAAAGCGUGGGGAGCAAACGGG
RNAcentral lists this ribosomal RNA (253 nucleotides) under uncultured bacterium. RNAcentral describes it as "partial 16S ribosomal RNA". It matches the Rfam family "Bacterial small subunit ribosomal RNA", at positions 524 to 776 of the family's 1533-position model. The record is from RNAcentral.